This 433-nucleotide ribosomal RNA is filed under the name uncultured bacterium. Its description in RNAcentral is "partial 16S ribosomal RNA". It matches the Rfam family "Bacterial small subunit ribosomal RNA", at positions 29 to 507 of the family's 1533-position model. The record is from RNAcentral.
AACGAACGCUGGCGGCAGGCCUAACACAUGCAAGUCGAGCGAGGACUUCGGUCCUAGCGGCGGACGGGGGAGUAACGCGUGGGAACGUGCCCGUUGCUUCGGAAUAGCCCUGGGAAACUGGGAGUAAUACCGGAGGAGCCCUUGGGGGGAAAGAUUUAUCGGCGAAGGAUCGGCCCGCGUUGGAUUAGGUAGUUGGUGGGGUAAUGGCCUACCAAGCCGACGAUCCAUAGCUGGUUUGAGAGGAUGAUCAGCCACACUGGGACUGAGACACGGCCCAGACUCCUACGGGAGGCAGCAGUGGGGAAUCUUAGACAAUGGGGGAAACCCUGAUCUCGCCAUGCCGCGUGAGCGAUGCAGGCCUUAGGGUUGUAAAGCUCUUUCAGCUGGGAAGAUAAUGACGGUACCAGCAGAAGAAGCCCCGGCUAACUCCGUG